This 292-nucleotide ribosomal RNA is filed under the name uncultured bacterium. RNAcentral describes it as "partial 16S ribosomal RNA". It matches the Rfam family "Bacterial small subunit ribosomal RNA", at positions 505 to 796 of the family's 1533-position model. The record is from RNAcentral.
GUGUCAGCCGCCGCGGUAAUACGUAGGGAGCGAGCGUUGUCCGAAGUUACUGGGCGUAAAGCGCGCGUAGGCGGGUUAUUAAGUGAGAGGUGAAAUUCCGGGGCUCAACCCAGGAACUGCCUCUCAUACUGAUAGUCUUGAGUGAGGUAGAGAGAAGUGGAAUGGCUGGUGUAGCGGUGAAAUGCGUAGAUAUCAGUCGGAACACCGGUGGCGAAGGCGGCUUCUUGGGCCUUUACUGACGCUGAUGCGCGAAAGCCAGGGUAGCGAACGGGAUUAGAAACCCGCGUAGUCC